Molecule: ribosomal RNA, 443 nt
Filed under: uncultured bacterium
Lineage: Bacteria
Description: partial 16S ribosomal RNA
Rfam family: Bacterial small subunit ribosomal RNA
Source: RNAcentral
CCUACGGGAGGCAGCAGUGGGGAAUAUUGGGCAAUGGGCGCAAGCCUGACCCAGCAACGCCGCGUGAAGGAAGAAGGCUUUCGGGUUGUAAACUUCUUUUGUCAGGGACGAAGCAAGUGACGGUACCUGACGAAUAAGCCACGGCUAACUACGUGCCAGCAGCCGCGGUAAUACGUAGGUGGCAAGCGUUAUCCGGAUUUAUUGGGUGUAAAGGGCGUGUAGGCGGGAAUGCAAGUCAGAUGUGAAAACUAUGGGCUCAACCCAUAGCCUGCAUUUGAAACUGUAUUUCUUGAGUGCUGGAGAGGUAAGUGGAAUUCCUAGUGUAGCGGUGAAAUGCGUAGAUAUUAGGAGGAACACCAGUGGCGAAGGCGGCUUACUGGACAGUAACUGACGUUGAGGCUCGAAAGCGUGGGGAGUAAACAGGAUUAGAUACCCUGGUAGUC